AUUUUCAAUUCCAUUAUAAUCUUAUACAAUCACUGUCAUAUAUGCUGUUUGUUAACUGAAUGUCAUAUGCAGCACAUGACUGUAUUUUGUUUUGUAGGUCUCAGACUUCUGUAUUUAAUUAUGACUAUUUGUUAGGAUUUUGACAGAGUGAAAAUAAAUAAAGUGUUCAAUCUGCCAAGUUUAAUUGGAAGUUUCAUUGAUCCUUCCAAGCUCAAACAUUCUGCAGAAUAUCUGGCUCCUCUAUACAUACCCUAAGAUCCUGGGGCUUAGCACUGGCCUGGAGGCUUCUGACAGAUGUAAACUAAUCACAAAAUGGGUAGGAAGGAUAGUAGAGCUGAAAGAUCAAAGUCAGAAUCCCAACCUCACCACAGCUCAGAUUCCCCUGGAAACCCAUGUUGUCAUAACUCUGAAGGAGAGAUGAUGACACAAUACAGGUGAACUGUUCUGACAUCAUCCUAUCCAGGCCGGAGGUGGGUCCCAAUGUUCUGCCCCUCUGGGGCCCAGAGGCACCUCUCAGUGGAGCCCAAGUCACCAUCUGGCCUCAUUUUGUCAUGAUAUACCAAUGGGAAUUAAUUCCAUGGGUUUCUUAUCACACACUGACUGCUAAAAGCUGAAGCCCAGAGUGACCAGAAUGUGGGCUGGGAAGCUUGAGAAAAGAUUCCAUGCGACCACAGCUCCUGGAGUCGUUGUUACUCAGGGCUCUGACCCUGUUGGAGCCGGGAGGGUGCUGUGUGGGAUUCUGCCCUCAGCAGCUGGCUGAGAGUGCUGCCACCUCACUGUACUCAAGGUGACAAUCUGGCCAGGAGAGGCUGACCUGGGGUGUGCCCCCACCAUGCAGGAGCCUGUUGGAGGUGAUGUCAGCACUUCUGGAUAAAGAUUGAGUGCCGGUCUGAAAGGCCACCCCUCUCAGCAAGAAAACCAUCUCAAAGUAUCAACAGCCAGCACCCUGUCCCCAGGCGUUAGAUGGUGUCAACAUCCUGGAGUUAGAUGGUGCUGCCUGUGUCAGGAAGAAAGGAACUCCUGGAGGCCCAGAGCCCAGAGCAGCAGGCAUGGAGCUUCACAGGGAGCAAGGGAGGCCAUGAGGACUGCUCCUUCCCUCUCCCACAACCCUCACCCAGGCAGGUGUGGUGAGUCUCAAGGCCGCUCAGCUGCGCGUCCUCCAGGAAGAGGCUCUGCUGAAUCUUCAUGUGUGUAUGACGGCAUCCCUUGUUUUCUAUCAAGAUAUGUUCUCUAUUUAUCAAUAAAAUCAAUGACACAAAUCCCA
Molecule: non-coding RNA, 1264 nt
Organism: Ictidomys tridecemlineatus (thirteen-lined ground squirrel)
Lineage: Eukaryota; Metazoa; Chordata; Mammalia; Rodentia; Sciuridae
Source: RefSeq, a predicted model, not a curated record